RNAcentral lists this unclassified non-coding RNA (250 nucleotides) under plant metagenome. Its description in RNAcentral is "partial contains small subunit ribosomal RNA, internal transcribed spacer 1, and 5.8S ribosomal RNA". The stretch from base 175 to 250 matches the Rfam family "5.8S ribosomal RNA", at positions 1 to 55 of the family's 154-position model. The record is from RNAcentral.
GUAGGUGAACCUGCGGAAGGAUCAUUCAUAAUAAGUGUUUUAUGGCACUUUUUAAAUCCAUAUCCACCUUGUGUGCAAUGUCAGUCGAUCUUCUUCAUGGAGAUCGACCAAACAUCAACCUUUAUUUUUUAACUCUUUGUCUGAAAAAUAUUAUGAAUAAACAAUUCAAAAUACAACUUUCAACAACGGAUCUCUUGGCUCUCGCAUCGAUGAAGAACGCAGCAUACUGACUAAGCACCUACACAUCUCG